RNAcentral lists this ribosomal RNA (450 nucleotides) under uncultured bacterium. RNAcentral describes it as "bacterial SSU rRNA". It matches the Rfam family "Bacterial small subunit ribosomal RNA", at positions 29 to 524 of the family's 1533-position model. The record is from RNAcentral.
AACGAACGCUGGCGGCAUGCCUAACACAUGCAAGUCGAACGAGACCUUCGGGUCUAGUGGCGCACGGGUGCGUAACGCGUGGGAAUCUGCCCUUGGGUUCGGAAUAACAGUUAGAAAUGACUGCUAAUACCGGAUAAUGUCUUCGGACCAAAGAUUUAUCGCCCAGGGAUGAGCCCGCGUAGGAUUAGCUAGUUGGUGAGGUAAAGGCUCACCAAGGCGACGAUCCUUAGCUGGUCUGAGAGGAUGAUCAGCCACACUGGGACUGAGACACGGCCCAGACUCCUACGGGAGGCAGCAGUGGGGAAUUUUGGGCAAUGGGCGAAAGCCUGACCCAGCAACGCCGCGUGAAGGAUGAAGUAUUUCGGUAUGUAAACUUCGUAAGAAUAGGAAGAAUAAAUGACGGUACUAUUUGUAAGGUCCGGCUAACUACGUGCCAGCAGCCGCGGUAAU